Wyeomyia smithii (pitcher-plant mosquito) is the source of this 573-nucleotide long non-coding RNA. RefSeq lists it as uncharacterized. Lineage: Eukaryota; Metazoa; Arthropoda; Insecta; Diptera; Culicidae. The transcript has 2 exons. The record is from RefSeq and is a predicted model, not a curated record.
AAAUAUAGAAAAAUGGCUGCCUUUCUGUCACAUGAUGGAAAAAAUAUUGAAAUACGUUCAAUCGCGUUCAUCAAAAACCAACUACUAUCGUAUUUCAAUGACCUUAAACAGUAGCAAUUCAGUAAAUUAUAAAUGUCAUUUACUUUGCAAUGUACAAGGUUAGUAUCGAGACUAGUGUAAUCGCACAGAAUUUGCUUUAGGGAGGUCUUAAGAAGCGAAAGCCCUACAGUAGCUGAAAACUACGAUUAACAUUCGAAUAAAUGACCGACACCAUGCAUAGUUAAUGCAAGGCUUACUUUUCAAAAAGGAUUUAAAGUGUUCACGUAAAAUUGAAGUUAUUUAAUGUUUAAAAAAUCUGUUUUUAUUUUUUCUCGAACUUAGUGACUUCAGUUUAUCAAUGCUGUGAUUCUAUACUUAACAUUUAGAUUAUAUACAUAUAUUGUGUAUCAUUUUAUCUCAUGAGAUUGUGAUUACAAUACAAACAGCAUUGUAUUUAUCGUUUUAUAUUGAAUUAAGUGGUUUAGAGUAAGUAAAAAUUGAUCGACAAAUAAAAAUGCGCCAUCUCUAAAUUCA